This 500-nucleotide ribosomal RNA is filed under the name uncultured bacterium. RNAcentral's name for it is "partial 16S ribosomal RNA". It matches the Rfam family "Bacterial small subunit ribosomal RNA", at positions 30 to 523 of the family's 1533-position model. The record is from RNAcentral.
AUUGAACGCUGGCGGAAUGCUUUACACAUGCAAGUCGAACGGCAGCACGGACUUCGGUCUGGUGGCGAGUGGCGAACGGGUGAGUAAUGUAUCGGAACGUGCCCAGUCGUGGGGGAUAACGUAGUGAAAAUUACGCUAAUACCGCAUACGAUCUAUGGAUGAAAGCGGGGGAUCGCAAGACCUCGCGCGAUCGGAGCGGCCGAUAGCCGAUGAGGUAGUUGGUGGGGUAAAGGCCCACCAAGCCAGCGAUCUGUAGCUGGUCUGAGAGGACGACCAGCCACACUGGAACUGAGACACGGUCCAGACUCCUACGGGAGGCAGCAGUGGGGAAUUUUGGACAAUGGGCGAAAGCCUGAUCCAGCCAUUCCGCGUGCAGGAUGAAGGCCCUCGGGUUGUAAACUGCUUUUGUACAGAACGAAAAGGUUUCUACUAAUACUAGGAGCUCAUGACGGUACUGUAAGAAUAAGCACCGGCUAACUACGUGCCAGCCGCCGCCGUAA